This 322-nucleotide ribosomal RNA is filed under the name Segatella copri. RNAcentral's name for it is "partial 23S ribosomal RNA". It matches the Rfam family "Bacterial large subunit ribosomal RNA", at positions 1 to 326 of the family's 2925-position model. The record is from RNAcentral. Lineage: Bacteria; Pseudomonadati; Bacteroidota; Bacteroidia; Bacteroidales; Prevotellaceae.
AAGAAAGUAAGAAAGGGCGUAUGGCGGAUGCCUAGGCUCACGGAGGCGAUGAAGGACGUGAUAAGCUGCGAUAAGCUUCGGGUAGGUGCAAAUAACCUUUGAUCCGGAGAUUUCCGAAUGGGAUAACCUAGCCGUCUGAAGGACGGUUACUAGCACUUAAGUGUUAGAGCUAACGCAGGGAACUGAAACAUCUUAGUACCUGUAGGAAGAGAAAAUAAAUGAAUGAUUCCCCCAGUAGUGGCGAGCGAACGGGGAACAGCCCAAACCAGUGGCGUCGCAAGGCGUGGCUGGGGUUGUAGGACCGCGACAUUGUAUGCAAAUC